Zophobas morio is the source of this 784-nucleotide long non-coding RNA. RefSeq lists it as uncharacterized. The transcript has 3 exons. NCBI's taxonomy places the organism in Eukaryota, Metazoa, Arthropoda, Insecta, Coleoptera, Tenebrionidae. The record is from RefSeq and is a predicted model, not a curated record.
CGCUGGUGUAAACGGCUUUCCCUACCUUUUUAGAGAGAAAAUGGCUGACGAUUAAUGACAUUAGUUACUUUUUUUUGACAUUUGUUUGAUCGCCGUGUUACAAGGUUCUGUGCUUACAAGGCGACGGCUUAUUAAUUAAUUAAGGGGCUCUUUUAUGUAGGUUAGAGCUUAGGAUACGCAUUUUCAGUGCACAUACACCGACAUUAUCAAACUGUGGAAUCGAACGUGCAGUAUAAAUCUGCACUGCCACAAUUGAUGCUAUAAGCAGUUAACAGUUUACCAUCUCGUUAACAAAAGGUGGACAUCAAUAAAAUGGGCAAGUACGACUCAAAGGAUGGUGUACGAAGAAUGACCACAUGACUGGCAGUUCAUAUUAAUAUUUCCAUCAGUCUUAUUUGUGCUGCCAUGGACGAUACUGAUUUAUGGCUUGGUUCUUCUGAAUCACAGAACUCUGGUGCUUGUACUAAUAAUGCGUCAUUAGAAGAUUUACACAUUUUAAUGAAAUGUUACCAGAACUGUUAUAAUUUAUAAGAAACUACAUGAAAUAUUUAAAGAGAUAAAGCGUGAAGCAAAAGGAAGUGAUGUAAAGAAGCAGAUCAAUUCACUAAGGUUGAAUCACAGGAGGGAAUUAAAUAAAAUGAAAUGUUCUAAAUGUGAUAGAAAGACAAUUCUCAAUGAACAUAAUUUAUAGGAACGUAAACAGUAGUCUCAACUGUUACAAAUAAGUGUAUUGUCAAAAACUUUAACAAUGCAAUAAAACAGGAACAACUAACUAACCCAUUAA